RNAcentral lists this ribosomal RNA (723 nucleotides) under uncultured bacterium. RNAcentral describes it as "bacterial SSU rRNA". It matches the Rfam family "Bacterial small subunit ribosomal RNA", at positions 9 to 780 of the family's 1533-position model. The record is from RNAcentral.
GAGUUUGAUCAUGGCUCAGAACGAACGCUGGCGGCAGGCCUAACACAUGCAAGUCGAGCGCGCCUUCGGGUGAGCGGCGGACGGGUUAGUAACGCGUGGGAACGUGCCCUUCUCUACGGAAUAGCCUCUGGAAACGGAGAGUAAUACCGUAUACGCCCUUUGGGGGAAAGAUUUAUCGGAGAAGGAUCGGCCCGCGUUAGAUUAGGUAGUUGGUGGGGUAACGGCCUACCAAGCCUACGAUCUAUAGCUGGUUUUAGAGGAUGAUCAGCAACACUGGGACUGAGACACGGCCCAGACUCCUACGGGAGGCAGCAGUGGGGAAUCUUAGACAAUGGGGGCAACCCCGAUCUAGCCAUGCCGCGUGAGUGAUGAAGGCCUUAGGGUCGUAAAGCUCUUUCGCCUGUGAUGAUAAUGACAGUAGCAGGUAAAGAAACCCCGGCUAACUCCGUGCCAGCAGCCGCGGUAAUACGGAGGGGGUUAGCGUUGUUCGGAAUUACUGGGCGUAAAGCGCGCGUAGGCGGAUUAGAAAGUUGGGGGUGAAAUCCCGGGGCUCAACCUCGGAACUGCCUCCAAAACUGCUAGUCUAGAGUUCGAGAGAGGUGAGUGGAAUUCCGAGUGUAGAGGUGAAAUUCGUAGAUAUUCNGAGGAACACCAGUGGCGAAGGCGGCUCACUGGCUCGAUACUGACGCUGAGGUGCGAAAGUGUGGGGAGCAAACAGGAUUA